This 443-nucleotide ribosomal RNA is filed under the name uncultured bacterium. RNAcentral's name for it is "partial 16S ribosomal RNA". It matches the Rfam family "Bacterial small subunit ribosomal RNA", at positions 338 to 795 of the family's 1533-position model. The record is from RNAcentral.
CCUACGGGUGGCAGCAGUGGGGAAUAUUGGGCAAUGGGCGCAAGCCUGACCCAGCAACGCCGCGUGAAGGAAGAAGGCUUUCGGGUUGUAAACUUCUUUUCUGAGGGACGAAGAAAGUGACGGUACCUCAGGAAUAAGCCACGGCUAACUACGUGCCAGCAGCCGCGGUAAUACGUAGGUGGCAAGCGUUAUCCGGAUUUAUUGGGUUUAAAGGGAGCGUAGGCCGGUCUUUAAGCGUGCCGUGAAAUUUUGUGGCUCAACCAUGAGAGUGCGGCGCGAACUGGAGACCUUGAGUGCGCGGAAGGCAGGCGGAAUUCGUGGUGUAGCGGUGAAAUGCUUAGAUAUCACGAAGAACCCCGAUUGCGAAGGCAGCCUGCCGCAGCGUUACUGACGCUGAAGCUCGAAAGCGCGGGUAUCGAACAGGAUUAGAUACCCGUGUAGUC